RNAcentral lists this ribosomal RNA (406 nucleotides) under uncultured bacterium. Its description in RNAcentral is "bacterial SSU rRNA". It matches the Rfam family "Bacterial small subunit ribosomal RNA", at positions 917 to 1344 of the family's 1533-position model. The record is from RNAcentral.
GGGCCCGCACAAGCGGUGGAGCAUGUGGUUUAAUUCGAUGCAACGCGAAGAACCUUACCUGGUCUUGACAUACACAGAAUCUUGUAGAGAUACGAGAGUGCCUUCGGGAAUUGUGAUACAGGUGCUGCAUGGCUGUCGUCAGCUCGUGUCGUGAGAUGUUGGGUUAAGUCCCGCAACGAGCGCAACCCUUAUCCUUAGUUGCCAGCACGUUUGGGUGGGCACUCUAAGGAAACUGCCGGUGCUAAGCCGGAGGAAGGCGGGGAUGACGUCAAGUCCUCAUGGCCCUUACACGCGGGGCUACACACGUGCUACAAUGGCAGUGACAAUGGGAUAAUCCCAAAAAGCUGUCUCAGUUCAGAUCGUAGGCUGCAACUCGCCUACGUGAAGGAGGAAUCGCUAGUAAUCG